CAGCAGCCGCGGUAAUUCGAAGGUGGCAAGCGUUACUCGGAAUUACUAGGCGUAAAGGGCAGGUAGGUGGUUUGGUCAGUCUGUUGUGAAAGCUCCCGGCUUAACCGGGAGAGGCCAACGGAUACUGCCAGACUUGAGUAUAGGAGAGGGUACUGGAAUUCCCGGUGUAGCGGUGAAAUGCGCAGAGAUCGGGAGGAACACCAAUGGCGAAAGCAGGUACCUGGACUAUUACUGACACUCAACUGCGAAAGCUAGGGGAGCAAACAGGAUUAGAUACCCUGGUAGUCCUAGCCGUAAACGAUGCACAUUAGACGUGAGGGGUAUCGACCCCCUUCGUGUCGACGCAAACGCAUUAAAUGUGCCGCCUGGGGAGUACGGCCGCAAGGUUGAAACUUAAAGGAAUCGACGG
Molecule: ribosomal RNA, 409 nt
Filed under: uncultured bacterium
Lineage: Bacteria
Description: bacterial SSU rRNA
Rfam family: Bacterial small subunit ribosomal RNA
Source: RNAcentral